UCGAGUAUCGGGUGCUCUAACACCCUACUCUCACCCUAUGUUGACUUGUAACCGUUGCUUUGGCGGGCCGGUGGGCUACCCACCGCCGGGCGGCGCCUGGAGAGCGCCCGCCAGAGGACCAAACAAAACUCUUUGUAACCAGUAUACGUCUGAGCAAGCGAGAAUGACCA
RNAcentral lists this unclassified non-coding RNA (170 nucleotides) under uncultured fungus. RNAcentral's name for it is "sequence contains ITS1". The record is from RNAcentral. Lineage: Eukaryota; Fungi.